UACAUAGGGGGCAAGCGUUAUCCGGAUUUACUGGGUGUAAAGGGAGCGUAGACGGCAGGGCAAGUCUGGAGUGAAAGGCAGGGGCCCAACCCCUGGACUGCUCUGGAAACUGUCCGGCUGGAGUGCAGGAGAGGUAAGUGGAAUUCCUAGUGUAGCGGUGAAAUGCGUAGAUAUUAGGAGGAACACCAGUGGCGAAGGCGGCUUACUGGACUGUAACUGACGUUGAGGCUCGAAAGCGUGGGGAGCAAACAGG
RNAcentral lists this ribosomal RNA (253 nucleotides) under uncultured bacterium. RNAcentral's name for it is "partial 16S ribosomal RNA". It matches the Rfam family "Bacterial small subunit ribosomal RNA", at positions 524 to 776 of the family's 1533-position model. The record is from RNAcentral.